GACAGAGGGUGCAAACGUUGUUCGGAAUUACUGGGCGUAAAGCGUGUGUAGGCUGCCAUGCAAGUCGGAUGUGAAAGCCCUGGGCUCAACCCAGGAAGUGCACUCGAAACUGCGUGGCUUGAGUACUGGAGAGGUUGGUGGAAUUCUCGGUGUAGAGGUGAAAUUCGUAGAUAUCGAGAGGAACACCGGUGGCGAAGGCGGCCAACUGGACAGAUACUGACGCUGAGGCGCGAAAGCGUGGGGAGCAAACAGG
This 253-nucleotide ribosomal RNA is filed under the name uncultured bacterium. RNAcentral's name for it is "partial 16S ribosomal RNA". It matches the Rfam family "Bacterial small subunit ribosomal RNA", at positions 524 to 776 of the family's 1533-position model. The record is from RNAcentral.